This 490-nucleotide ribosomal RNA is filed under the name uncultured bacterium. Its description in RNAcentral is "partial 16S ribosomal RNA". It matches the Rfam family "Bacterial small subunit ribosomal RNA", at positions 29 to 505 of the family's 1533-position model. The record is from RNAcentral.
AGUGAACGCUGGCGGUAGGCCUAACACAUGCAAGUCGAACGGCAGCACAGUAAGAGCUUGCUCUUACGGGUGGCGAGUGGCGGACGGGUGAGGAAUACAUCGGAAUCUACUUUUUCGUGGGGGAUAACGUAGGGAAACUUACGCUAAUACCGCAUACGACCUACGGGUGAAAGCAGGGGAUCUUCGGACCUUGCGCGAUUGAAUGAGCCGAUGUCGGAUUAGCUAGUUGGCGGGGUAAAGGCCCACCAAGGCGACGAUCCGUAGCUGGUCUGAGAGGAUGAUCAGCCACACUGGAACUGAGACACGGUCCAGACUCCUACGGGAGGCAGCAGUGGGGAAUAUUGGACAAUGGGCGCAAGCCUGAUCCAGCCAUACCGCGUGGGUGAAGAAGGCCUUCGGGUUGGAAAGCCCUUUUGUUGGGAAAGAAAAGCAGCAGGUUAAUACCCCGCUGUUCUGACGGGACCCAAAGAAUAAGCACCGGCUAACUUCA